GAAUGAGGUGAGUAAACAAACAGAUACAGACUUAUUCCUUUAUUUUUGGCUAAAAGAGGCCCACAUAAAUAUAUAUAUAUAUAUAUAUAUAUUUUUUUUUUUUUAAACCCUUACCUUCUAUCUUAGAAUCAAUACUGUGUAAGGGCUAGGCAAUGGGUAUUAAGUGACUUGCCCAGGGUCACACAACUAGGAAGUAGCCAGAUUUCAACCUAGGACCUCUUGUCUCUAGGUCUUGCUCUCAAUCCACUGAGCCACCCAGAUGCUCCCCCUCCACCCCUCAUAUUCUUAAAGAACCUCUUAAACUCCAGAACUAUUGGCUAUCAUUGUUGGAUCAAAAUAAAAAUGGUAAUGACACUGUAUCUGGUAUGCAUUGUUUUUAUUAGAGUGGGCCAGGGUUUGAUUUGGGAAGGUGUGAAUUUAAAGUGUCUGACCUGUCCCUGAGGCAAGUAGGUGACAACUUGGCAUAAUAUCUGGAAGACCUGAGUUUAAAUAUAACUUCAUAUACUUACUAGCUGUGUGACCCUGAGCAAAUCACUUAACCUCCAUCUAGCUCAAUUUCCUCAACUGUAAAAUGAAGAUAAUAGCUCCUACCCUACUGGGUUGUUUUGAGAAUCAAAUGAGAUCAUAUUUAUAAAGCACAUAGCAGAGUGUCUUAUAUUUAUAUGCUUAAUAAAGUGUUUAUUCCAUUCUUCUCUUCUUGUUCUUAGGUGGUUUAUCUGUCUGAGCACAAUUCUCUCUCUCUCUUUUUUUCUGGCAGUCUAAAGCAGAGAAAAUAUAAGAACACAGUUGUACCAGAAAAAUUCCCCAGAGAGAGUGGUGGAAGUAUUUCUACUGCUGUGUAGUUUGAGUAGAGUCUAUCAUCUUGAAUUUCAUGUCCAGAUUCUUUGACUACAACCCUGAACUGUUCAUGAGUUCCUGGGAAAGACUAGCAAGGAACAAUAAAGUGGAGGAAUUCCAUGGAGACUGGAACAACCUCCAGGAAGUGAUGCAGAGCAAGAGGAGCAGAACCAGGAGAACAUUGUACACAGAGACUGAUACACUGUGGUAUAAUCGAACGUAAUGGACUUCUCCAUUAGUGGCGGUGUAAUGUCCCUGAACAAUCUGCAGGGAGAAAAACACUAUCCACAAGCAGAGGACAAACUGUGGGAGUGGAAACACCGAGGAAAAGCAACUGCUUGACUACAGAGGUUGAGGGGACAUGUCUGAGGAGAGACGCUAAACAAACACUC
This 1229-nucleotide long non-coding RNA is filed under the name Monodelphis domestica (gray short-tailed opossum). RNAcentral describes it as "lncRNA (ENSMODG00000047189.1)". The record is from RNAcentral. Lineage: Eukaryota; Metazoa; Chordata; Mammalia; Didelphimorphia; Didelphidae.